GGCCCGGCCCUCUGUCCCGAGGGCAGGGAGGCUGCCCGGGGCGCCCCCGAGGACGCGUCAGCCACCGCUGCCCUUUGAUUCCUCGGGGCCCGCCCCCUGGACCCCAGUCCUGACGGUGCCGCGACCCCCCCGACCCCCGAGGCAGCGGCACCGCACCGUCAGGGAGAGGGGAAACCGCGCUCCCAGCGGUUAACUGUAGGGAGCCUGUGAAGCAGAACUUGGCCUCAGCCGAGUGGGGCUGGAUGUGGAUGGCCUCGAAGUCCUCUCCUCCAUUUAAUGAUUCGUUUGCCCCCCGCUGACGCCGAGCGCUGACCCUUCUGAAACCUAGUCCGGGGCAGGCAGGGUUUCUCCGGGACCCCAAGGGCAGGACUGGCAGGACUGACGGUGGACUAUCCUCAACUCAGUUUGCCACCCAGGACGGCAAAAGGACCAAACGGAAGGUGAUGGGGAUUGAGAAGUCUUGGAAAUCCUUGUGUAGUAUAAUCCCCUCUUCUCUACACUAGAAAUACAGGAUGAAAGCGAACAUUUUUAUAAUCCUCCCCUCCUCACCACAUUUAGUUCCCUGGUGUUGAACAUGUGGGCUUGAUUAAAGGAGAGAAAGAGCCACGGAGAGGAGUUAGAUUCUCCAUCCCCUCCUUCCCCUCAGCCACCAAGGCCCCAAGCGUGGAGGGCAGGGCCCGGGCCUCGUCGUCUCAUCGUGGUGUGUCUAUCAGAGGACUCAACACGUCAUGAUUCAUCGUCGUGAUUCUGAAUGAAUGGUUUACUCAGUGAAGGGGUGGGCAGUCGCAGUGGAAUCUCAAGUCAAAGAAGUAUUCGGUGGAACAGUGUAACUCCUGUGUGGAGUACAGGCUCCUGGGAGUGGUGCUUUAUUGAUUUUAUUACAACUUAUUUGCAACGAGGAGGAACUGUCUUCCAAAAAGGUUUGCUCCAGUGCCUGUAUCAGCCACUCACCACUUCAGAGGACCCAGCUGAGCAUGGAAGGCAGCGGGGGACAGAGGAGAGAGAAGUGGCAGGAGCCAGGGUUGAAUUCAUCGAGGUUUUUAGCCACAUGCAUCAAGUGGCGAUCACCUUUCCAGCAUCCUUUCACUGCCUCCAACACCCUGAAAUCCAGGAAAACAAGACUGGACAAAAACCCAGGAAUGUACAAAGGGGAGUUACUUCCUUCUUCCCCCCCCCCCCCAAGUUCCUUCCUUACAUCCUUAGUUCUCCUACAAUGCACUUCUUUUCAUUUGCUAAUUCGCCUCAGAGAGACUGACUAUAUGUGCUGCUUUUCCUCUAGCUUGGAAACUUGGAUUAUAGCAAUUUAACAUUAUAACAUAAUUCCACUGCAAUAAAGCAAUUUGGGGCUGGCAGUGUGAUGGAGUGGAUGUCGGUGGAAGUGGGGAGUUUACUACAAUGGAUUUUUUUUU
Canis lupus familiaris (dog) is the source of this 1409-nucleotide long non-coding RNA. RefSeq lists it as uncharacterized. Lineage: Eukaryota; Metazoa; Chordata; Mammalia; Carnivora; Canidae. The record is from RefSeq and is a predicted model, not a curated record. The transcript is spliced from 3 exons.